GUUCAAAUAAUUUAUACGAUGUUGACACAACAUCGUGUUAACAUUGUAUACAUCGCGAUGUUAACGAUGUCAACGAUGUAAACAAUAUAUAAGGGUUGAAACAAUGUAUACGAUGUUGACAAAACAUCUCGUUAACAUUGUAUACAUCGCG
Molecule: small RNA, 151 nt
Filed under: Mytilus galloprovincialis (Mediterranean mussel)
Lineage: Eukaryota; Metazoa; Mollusca; Bivalvia; Mytilida; Mytilidae
Source: RNAcentral